CGGUUGAUCCUGCCGGACCCGACUGCUAUUUGGGUGAGCUGGCCAUGCGAGUUGAAUGGGAUACCUAAAUUUCCCAUAGCAAACUGCUCAGUAACACAUGAUCAACUUACCCUAUAGAGAAAAAUAACCUCGGGAAACUGAGGAUAAUGUUUCAUAGUUGAAAAGGCUUGGAAAAGUUUUUCAACAAAAGGGAUAAGGAAAAUGGUUUCUUAUCCGCUAUAGGAUAGGAUCGUGGUCGAUUAUGGUUGUUGGUGAGGUAAUGGCUCACCAAGCCGAUAAUCGAUAGGGGCCGUGAGAGCGGGAGCCCCGAGAUGGGUACUGAGACAACGACCCAGGCCUUACGAGGCGCAGCAGGCGCGAAACCUCCGCAAUACACGAAAGUGUGACGGGGUUACCCAAAGUGUUCAAUUUUGAACUGUGGUAGGUGAGUAAUGUCCCCUACUAGAAAGGAGAGGGCAAGGCUGGUGCCAGCCGCCGCGGUAAAACCAGCUCUUCAAGUGGUCGGGAUAAUCAUUGGGCUUAAAGUGUCCGUAGCCGGUUUAGUAAGUUCCUGGUAAAAUUGGGUAGCUUAACUAUCCAUAUGCUAGGAAUACUGCUAUACUAGAGGGCGGGAGAGGUCUGAGGUACUACAGGGGUAGGGGUGAAAUCUUAUAAUCCUUGUAGGACCACCAGUGGCGAAGGCGUCAGACUGGAACGUGCCUGACGGUGAGGGACGAAAGCCAGGGGAGCGAACCGGAUUAGAUACCCGGGUAGUCCUGGCCGUAAACGAUGCAUACUAGGUGAUGGUACGGCCAUGAGCCGUAUCAGUGCCGUAGGGAAACCGUUAAGUGUGCCGCCUGGGAAGUACGGUCGCAAGGCUAAAACUUAAAGGAAUUGGCGGGGGAGCAC
This 888-nucleotide ribosomal RNA is filed under the name uncultured archaeon. RNAcentral's name for it is "bacterial SSU rRNA". It matches the Rfam family "Archaeal small subunit ribosomal RNA", at positions 5 to 879 of the family's 1478-position model. The record is from RNAcentral.